Molecule: ribosomal RNA, 328 nt
Filed under: uncultured Bacteroidota bacterium
Lineage: Bacteria; Pseudomonadati; Bacteroidota
Description: bacterial SSU rRNA
Rfam family: Bacterial small subunit ribosomal RNA
Source: RNAcentral
GAUGAACGCUAGCGGGAGGCUUAACACAUGCAAGUCGAGGGGCAGCACGAGGUAGCAAUACUCUGAUGGCGACCGGCAGACGGGUGAGUAACGCGUAUGUAACCUACCCUGUACAGGGGGAUAGCCCGGAGAAAUUCGGAUUAAUACCCCAUAAUGAUAUUUUAAGGCAUCUUAGAAUAUUUAAAGCUUCGGCGGUACGGGAUGGGCAUGCGUGACAUUAGCUAGUUGGUAAGGUAACGGCUUACCAAGGCUUCGAUGUCUAGGGGUCCUGAGAGGGUGAUCCCCCACACUGGUACUGAGACACGGACCAGACUCCUACGGGAGGCAG